CUGGCUCAGGACGAACGCUGGCGGCGUGCCUAAUACAUGCAAGUCGAGCGGAGUUUAUCGGGAGCUUGCUCCUGAUAAACUUAGCGGCGGACGGGUGAGUAACACGUAGGCAACCUGCCCGUAAGACUGGGAUAACUACCGGAAACGGUAGCUAAUACCGGAUACGCAAGUCUCUCGCAUGAGGGGCUUGGGAAAGGCGGAGC
This 203-nucleotide ribosomal RNA is filed under the name Paenibacillus barengoltzii J12. RNAcentral's name for it is "16S rRNA. Bacterial SSU". It matches the Rfam family "Bacterial small subunit ribosomal RNA", at positions 19 to 214 of the family's 1533-position model. Lineage: Bacteria; Bacillati; Bacillota; Bacilli; Caryophanales; Paenibacillaceae. The record is from RNAcentral.